RNAcentral lists this ribosomal RNA (410 nucleotides) under uncultured microorganism. RNAcentral's name for it is "bacterial SSU rRNA". It matches the Rfam family "Bacterial small subunit ribosomal RNA", at positions 9 to 416 of the family's 1533-position model. The record is from RNAcentral.
GAGUUUGAUCGUGGCUCAGAUUGAACGCUGGCGGCAUGCCUUACACAUGCAAGUCGAACGGCAGCAUGAUCUAGCUUGCUAGAUUGAUGGCGAGUGACGAACGGGUGAGUAAUACAUCGGAACGUGCCCUGUAGUGGGGAUAACUAGUCGAAAGAUUAGCUAAUACCGCAUACGACCUGAGGGUGAAAGUGGGGGACCGCAAGGCCUCAUGCUAUAGGAGCGGCCGAUGUCUGAUUAGCUAGUUGGUGGGGUAAAGGCCCACCAAGGCGACGAUCAGUAGCUGGUCUGAGAGGACGAUCAGCCACACUGGGACUGAGACACGGCCCAGACUCCUACGGGAGGCAGCAGUGGGGAAUUUUGGACAAUGGGCGAAAGCCUGAUCCAGCAAUGCCGCGUGUGUGAAGAAGGCC